UACGAAGGGGGGCUAGCGUUGCUCGGAAUCACUGGGCGUAAAGCGCACGUAGGCGGACUCUUAAGUCGGUGGUGAAAUCCUGGAGCUCAACUCCAGAACUGCCUUCGAUACUGAGAGUCUUUGAGUCCGGGAGAGGGAUGCGGAAUUCCAGGUGUAGCGGUGAAAUGCGUAGAUAUCUGGAGGAACACCGGUGGCGAAGGCGGCAUCCUGGACCGGCAUUGACGCUGAGGCGCGGAAAGCCAGGGGGAGCAAACGGGG
Molecule: ribosomal RNA, 258 nt
Filed under: uncultured bacterium
Lineage: Bacteria
Description: partial 16S ribosomal RNA
Rfam family: Bacterial small subunit ribosomal RNA
Source: RNAcentral